AAAUAAAUAAAUAAUUAAGUAAAUAAGAGAUUAAAAUACUUAAUAAUUGAUUAAAUUUUUUGAUUGAGUGAAAUUUUUUUUUUGGGAAGGCGAAAGGGUUUUUUUUUUUUUUUUUUUUUUUUUUUUUUUUUUUUUUUUUUUUUUUUUUUUUUUUUUUUUUCUGUGUUUUGGGUGCGCCAGGAGGCCCACGAGGCCCGCUAGCUCGAGCAUGAGGCCGCGAGCGCGAGGGAGCGCGAGGGAGCCGCGAGCCUGGAGCGCGAGGGAGCGCAAGCCGCAAGCGGGAGCGGGAGGACCGCGCAAGCCGCAAGCGCCAAAUUUUUCGCCGAAUAAUUCGCGACUCGCGAAUUAUUCGCAAAUAAGUAUUUUUAACCAAAAAUACGCGUUUUUUUCCGAAUUUUUCGGAAAAGUACGAAUUCGGCCGAUUAAUUCGUUUUUUCAAAAAUUCGCGAAUAAUUCGCGAAUUAACUAACAUAGGUUUACCGUUAACCCUUUACUGUUUUACUGUUUUAAUUGCAGAGGAAGCUUAUAUAGGCUACUACAUAGGCCUGGGGCAAAAGAAACUCUAGAUGAGAAGCGCCGUUUAAGUAUGGCUUUUGAUGUGGUAUACCUCUUAACUAUAUUUUCCUCCCUCUAAUAUAGUUCUUUUAAUAGUGUGGAAAGGUUGGUCUGAGAUCGUGCCAAAAAUUAGUAGUUUCAAUUGAUAUUGAAUGGGUUCUUUAAGGGUGACAAAUUCUCGUCAAUUUUCUGACUGACCAUGUUUGUUUUAUACAGGCAAAGGGAAUGAAUUAUCUUCAUAAGCGAAAUCCUCCAAUUGUUCAUCGAGACUUAAAAUCUCCAAAUUUGUUGGUCGACAAAAAAUAUACUGUGAAAGUAAGAUACUACCAUCGUCUGGAUAUAUCAGUUUAUAUUACUAGCCUCUGUUGCCACCACUUUCUUAGCAGCUACUAAAUUUACGUCAAUUUUCACCAGUUUUUUUCUAUGCAUUUGCAUCGGCAAUGGUUUAGACAACUAAAUUUUAGUGUAUUGGUAGUUACUUUAUACUUACCAACCUUCUAAAUCUUUUUAUUAGACCUUCUUUAUUCAGUUUCCAACAUGACUGGACUGGCUUUUUCACUUUUACAUUCGUGACUUGCAUCUAAGCUAGAAUGCUUUGUGCUAGGUUUGCGACUUUGGCCUCUCCAGGUUGAAGGCAAACACAUUUUUAUCUUCCAAGACUGCAGCAGGGACUGUAAGUACUGUACUCUAGUUGUCCAUUUUGUAAGUGUUAUUGCUUCGUUACUUAGUACAUUAACGAUAAUACUUUGGUUUCAUGCUGUGACUUGCUAACGUUUCUAGCCCGAGUGGAUGGCACCAGAAGUUCUACGUGAUGAACCAUCAAACGAGAAGUCUGAUGUCUACAGCUUCAGUGUUAUCCUGUGGGAGCUUAUGACCUUACAGCAGCCCUGGAGUAAUUUAAAUCCUGCUCAGGUUUGCACUCUCUCUCUCUCUCUCUCUCUCUCUCUCUCUCUCUCUCUUCAAUGAGUCUUCAACUAAGCUCAUGUCAUGCCUUGCCUCAUCAUGCAAAUAAUAUGGGGCCCUUAUGUUAAAAAACAAAUCUUGAUACCACAUGUAGUAUAACAAAAGUAGUUACAUGAAAUGAUUGAAAUCUGUUGCGUCAGUUGGGCAACUGAUGAAAUCAGGAUAGCGGUUAGUUUAGUAUGAAAUCUCUUCUACAUACUACAUGAUGCUAAAGUACAAGGUGUUUCUUCAAUGAGGAAAUUACACGGUGUUUCUUAUAUGAGUUACUAAAAAGAUUUAUUUUAGUACUGAAAGGAAGCUGGAAGAAUGUAUUAAUAUUCUCAUACACUAAACCUUCUCGCCUGUUAAUGUAGCUUGAUGAUGUUUCCUCGUACAGGUGGUAGCAGCUGUUGGUUUUAAGGGGAGAAGGCUUGAUAUUCCAAGCGAUGUAGAUCCACAGGUGGCUGCAAUAAUUCAGUCUUGUUGGGCCAAGUAUGUACAAAAAAAUUCGCUACUUAUUGUAAUUCUCUUGUGCUGUCUAUUCUAUCAUGUUUUCUUAUGGUCGAAAAUUUAUCCUCCAGUGAGCCAUGGAAACGGCCUUCUUUUUCCAGUAUCAUGAAAUCGCUGAAGCCGCUAAUCAAGACUUCAACCUCUUACCCGGCUCAGGCAGAAAGUUAGCAGUUAUUCAUUUGGCUCCCUCUUGCCAAACUAAUUUGAAGGCGCAGGGUUACAAAGGUGGCUUCUUGCCAUCCGGAGUCCUAUAUGACAAAUGGCAAUGAAUAACGGCUGGUUAUAUUGUUGACUAGUCCAAUCUAGAAAGUUCACUUUAUGUUAGUGUCUGUCUGUCCAGUGACAAAUUUUCCUGGAGAAUCACCAUAAGAAGUGGAAAUAGCAUGUCACGUGUACAUACAGUGAUGUUACUAACAUAUUACUUUUGAUCCAAAAAUGCGUGCGUUUCAUUUUAUAUUGGGUCUAUUGGCACUCAUACCCCUCCUGCUGGUUGGGAAUCCAGGGAUUUACACGCGGAUGCUGAUGCAAGCUGCAUAAGGAAUCAUCAUCCGAACAUUAAGUCAAAGAGCAUUCAGCGUCUGAUGUAAAGCUACAGUAACAGGCACGGUUGUGCUGUGAUUAAUUCGGAGGAAGAUGUAGCAUUUUAACACUAGGUCGUCAGUAAUCUUUAAUGGUCUGUUCCAUAGGGUAGUGAAGUGCUAUACAUGAACGAUGUUUGCAUCAGCGAAAAGAAGAGCGGACCGACUUAGAUUGUUCUUGAUCAAUGAAAGAAGAGCAGUUUUAUGCUAAAUCAAUGGUUGUAAGUGUCUGUAGGUUCUCGUUCUAAGCAUGCUGUAAGCCAUGAAAGAGACGUAAAACUUCACAGCAUGGCCAGUCCUCAUCGUGUCGCAUGCAGGGCCUUUUGUGCAUUGGAGUAGGGGUGAGCAAAAAACCGUAGGGUUGAGAGUCUAAUCAAGCCUGGUCCAAAAAACAUCUUCCCCACCAUUUUGCUCCCCCUCUCAUCCAUCCUACAGGCUACAGCUUCGGAACCCGAUACAUAAUGCGGAAAAGGCUCGACUUUCGAACAAGGAGCGGUAGCCAAAAUUGGGCCCGAGGCCUAAUUACGUAUUUCAUUACUUGCCCGGCCCACUUAAUCCACCUGGACUUGCUCGGUUUGCUCCAGGCGCUGCGGCUAUUUCAUUCCCGCCCCAAAUCCUUGUUCCCAAAUUUCUCUUCCCUCCAUCGUCCUCGACCUCAAGGGAGUUCGAAUUUCGCUAGCGUUCAUCGUAUCUUAAUUUUGAAAUAGAGAGAGAGAGAGCGAGCGAGCGAGCGAUCACCUUCUUUUACUUCGCCACCAUCGAUCGAUCCAUUGGUGGCGAGCGUUGAGGACGAGGACUCCAUGAAAAUGUAGUUUACUGAGCUCGCUUUCAAUUCGAAGCUCGUCAUCACUAUGCCCGCCAUCAACGCCGGCGAUAAUGCGCUGUUCUUCGCCGAUGCGAUUGCCGCAACCACCGUAUACGGUGACAUUUCUCCACGUGAGGUGACUCAUCUUCCUCUUAUCUGAUUUCGACCAUUGUGCUUCAGGAUGUUGUUUUGUGAAGAGAUUCACGAUCCACAACAAAGCGGAAGGGAAUAAAAUAAUUGUUGCACGUGAUGUUGUAUUCUUUUAUUCUAGUUGCUAGUUAAGCAGUUGCCACUUUAAAUUUGAGUUCCUAAGUUUGAUCUAUGGUUCGGAAUGUUAUUGGAAUAGAAUUUUAAUUGCAUAGUUUGGAUGUUGUGCCUUAAUGGUUUUCCAUCUCUAUUGAUUUUCCAGUGAACGAAUGUCAAUGAUGAUGGCAAUCAGUUAUGUCUGUAGCAUAAAUAUGAUUGUGCUGCAAUUAGAGGGUUUUUUUUUUUUUUAUGUUUUAAUUCUUGCUGAAUGCCGCAUUAUUGUGUUCCAUGUAGAAUAUAGAUAUCCCAUUAAAAAAUGAAAAGUGUUGCAUACAAAUGUCUAAUAUCUGCUAUCUGACUACUGCUUAUUCUCUAUCUGUCUUUUCCUUUGUUUGCAUGGAAUAGAGGGUAGGCUCAGCUCAGCCUUUUUUAAUCCUUCCUAUUUUGUUUCUUCUCAAGUCUCUACCCUGUUCAAGUAUUUUUUUUUUGAUUAAACAGGGGUAAACCCUAUUUUACAAAGGUGAAGAGAUUACAGGGGUAAACCCUGUUCAAGUAUUUUAUUUGCCUGAACCAUCUGGAUAGGGAUGGUGAUGGUGGGAGUGUAUAUAGCAGAGCUGUCGAAGUGAGUCGAAUAGCGCGCGCAAAGUGUAACAGGAGAGGAACAAUUGAGAAUUAGGACGCUGUCAUGUACAGUGAAUUGGUUUGCUUUAAGAGUAAGACACAUGACUUUGGCAUUAAAAGGAGAAGUGAAAGCUGAACCACAGCAAAGUGCGAGUUGAUUUACUUCCUUAUCAGUCCUUUUUUUUUGUUAAUUUAACAAUUAACAAAUAGAAUUUUGAAGCUACUCUAGUGGUUCAAGUUUUUAAAUCCAACUCUAAAAUAGUUACAUUCUUUGUCAUUAGUGCUUGUAAGUAGCUUGAUACUUUUCUAAAUAUUCCUGUGCAAGCACCUAAUAGAAUAACAGUUUUAACGUCUUUGCUUGUCUUUUUUGUUUUGCAUGAUCAGAUGACUAGUUGAUACUAAAAAAAGGAAAUUCUUUUUGCUAGGUUUUUACAGUGCUGUAGUCUGUCUUAGAAGGCAGAUGCCUUCUCUGAAUCAGAUAUCAUUGAUUGUGGUUUGCUGCAGAAUCAUGCAACAUGCAAUGCCUUAGACGAAGUUUUCUUGUCCAUAAAACAGGAGGAACCAAUCAUUCGUCGGAGGAUUCAUAUUCCUGAUCACAAGUGUUCGAAAUAAAAAUUGCAAAGCUUGUUGCUGAUUUGUGUCACUGCUCUUAGUUUUAAUGAUGAUUUCUUCCCUGUUCCCAGUGUCAGGUGUGGGCGAUUCUUGGUGACACCCACUAUCUAUUUUGCCUUUUUACCUAUUUUGCUUUCUUAAUGCUUUGGCACAAUCUACAGCUUCUACCAUAAAAGAGAACAGGAACUAAGGGCAUGACUUCUAAUUGGAGCUUCACCAGAUUUGUCAUUUCAUCAAUGCUUAGAGAGGUAAGCUUUUGCUUUGAGAUGUGUUUGGUAUCUUUCCUUUUCAAUCUUUGCCUAUCAUAUUUGUGCGACUGCUUUUCAGAUCAUGCCCUUUUCAUUUUUCUACACUUGUUAAUUAUGCCAUUCAUCAUCCCUCGAAUUUUAAUUGUUCUUAUUUAGUUCUAGUUAGUAAAGUGCCUGUUUUUUCUGCCCGCUAUUCUCCCUCCUGAACUUAAAAUACAGGUUCGAGCUUGUUCAGGGUCUAGUUUGGCGCAACUUGGUUCGGACUAGUCUGAGCUUGCGCAUAAGGUUCUCAGCUGCAGUUGGGAUGGAACCUGGGUUGGCCUGGCCCUGCACAGCCCGUUGACCCGUACGCACAUGUGGGACUGUGGGAGUCACUGCAUAUGUGUACCUUUGACUUUUAGAUGCUUUUGGUAGUAUAAAGAGAACACAAUCGUCCUAGUAGAUGGCACAAUUAUUGGCCUCACUAGCGACCGCAAGUGGCUUACAAAUGGUUGGGUCCCAUUUGAAUCCUCUUUUAAGUUAGGAAUUUAGCAUUAUGAGUGCAGUAGCUCCAGCAGUGUUAAAAGUAAACAUGCACAUGGUUAUAGGAAAUUUGGAAUCUAAAGGCGCUUUGAAGGAGGAAGAGCCUUUGGGCCGUGCAUAUUUGUUUGUUCCUUUUAUUUUAUUUUCUUUUGGGAGAAUUUUUGGAAGGAAAACCUUCUACUAGCUGUAUCAUUAGAAAAAUGAAUUAAUUGGACUACAGCUUAAGACAGCAGGGUCUCAUGAUAAAGAAUUGGCCGUGCAUUUUGUUUGUCGCCUUUCGUGUGGUGAUUAGCUUCUGUUCUUCUUCAGCGUAAUAAUCCUAGUUUGCUUCUCUUUCAUUUCUCCGAGAUUUCUUUCCCAGGAAGAGCUAGAGAAAUUGAUGGUUUGCUACUCUUUCUAUUCUUAGAGAGUUAGGUUAAUCUUGGUCUAAUCAUCGUUACGAGCUAAUAUUUCAUAUCUCUAAUUGUUAGUUCUCGUAGCUUCUGUUAUCAGUGUUUACCCGUGAGGUCUCGGAAUGAAUUAAUGUGGGGUAGGUAAUUGUGGGAGGAAGUUGGCAGCUUUGACUCCAGGAGAAAAUCAUGAAAUAGGCUUUUUUUGUUGGAUGAGCUUUAGCUUUAGGUCAGUUGGAUGUGAGACAUGCAUGCCGAGUGAGGCUUCCUAGGCUGGUAAAAAGGCCAAUUUUGACCUGUGGAAACUGCCUACCCUACUUCCGUACUUCCCAUAUAUAUAGUUGUCAUGGCGUAAACCUUUCGGGGCGAUAGGCCUCUUUUAAAAAUUUCAUUUAACGAGUUGUUUUGCUUUAUUUCUGCUUAUACUUUCGGUCCUUGUUUCUAAUAGUGCAUUUAGAAAUGGUAGUAAGUUUGAAGCUUCAGUUAUAAUAAGAAGUGAAAAUUGUCAGAUUAUGAGCCUCGAAAAUAGAAGUUUUAGUUGGGUACUUGUAAUUCUAAGGCAGAAAAAAGCCAUUAGAGAUACUUUUUUUACAAACUAAUAAUAUUGCUUAAACGAUUCUGCAUUAAAUAAUACUACACCUUACAGCAAAUUCAAACAGACCCUAAUUAGAACAAUAAUGUGUGGAUUGAGCCCUUCAAGGACCAAAGAUAUAAUAAUCCUGUUUUAUGCUCUUUUUUUUUUUUUUUUAGGAAAUGAUAGCAUGUUACCCGCUUCAUUCAUUAGANAAAAAAAAAAAAAAAAUCCUACACUACUGAUUACAGUUGUGCUGAUUUGUUGAGAGAAAAUGCUCCCAAAGGUUCGUCAACUAUUUAAUCUUGUAAACUGCUAGGAGUGGGUCCGGGUGGGUAUUCCUAAAAUUUGCAACGUUUCUGACCUCCCACAUGGCCCACCAGCAGACUACUAGGCCGGUUAGCUUAGUACUCAUAGACCGCGAUCCAUUUCUAGCUAUCCACCUAUCCCAGAUGAAGUUCACAUCGUCACCCAAAUCUUCAGAUCGGACACUCUCCAAUGUUAUCAAAUCUCGAAAAAACAUACUAAGUGAACAUGUGAUCGAUAGUUUGCUCUUCGGUCCCACACAAUACAUAGGCCAUUUGCCGGUCCGACCUCUCUUUAAUAGGUUAUCUGCUGUAAGAUGCCUUUUCUUAAGGAGAAGCCAGUAGAAUACUUUCACUUUAAAGGGAAUUCGAAGUCUCCAAAUUAUGCUAGCUCGGGCGUCCCUCGUCCUCCCGUCAUUCAGUGCUGAAUAGGCCGAUUUGACUGUAAAGCGUCUGCUGGGCCUCUAUCGCCAGUACCCACUGUCUCGUCUUUGCUCAAGUUUGAAGAUCUUUGCCCAAAGUGCUGGAUAGUUUGAAAUCAAUCCGUAACGAAGAUUGUUGUCACCACGUAAUAUCUUGCUCCAAUUCCAAUCGUUGCUCUUCAGACAAUUGUUGAUUCUUAGAUUUUUGUGAAUCUUUGUAAGAAACAUCUGGGGAAAUGACGAUUACAGUGUGGUUUCCCACACCAGCGAUCUGACUAGAAGUCGAUGGUACUCCCAUUGCCCAGCUUAUAGUAAGUUUCCCAUUUGAAAAUUUUGUUUUGGCUUAAAACUCCCUUCCACCAAAAUGAGGAAGGUCUAAAGAAUCAUCCCUUCUUUAAAGGUUUUCUUCUGCUAUAAUAUAAGACAUGGAUGAUUUUGUUCCACUGGAGCUGGGGCACGGUAUGGAAUUUUCACCGCCAUUUGGUUAGGAGAGCUUGGCUCAUCGUAGCUACAUCCAAGAUGCCAAGUCCUCCCUCUUUCAAGCUCCUACAGACAUUCUUCUGUACUAUCAAACAUUCCUUUUCUGGUGGGUUGGUUCCUCCAUUCUAGAAAAAAUCUCUACAUAGCGCCUCAAACCGCUAUUAGUCGGAUUUUGUUUUAUGCUUGUUGAUAAGAAUAUAACCAGUUGUUUUCUAUUAGAUAGAUUUAGUUUUUAGAGGGGGGGGUGGGACUGGGUUGCUUAUAUGUGACUGGGUUGCUUAUAUGUUCUUAGGUAGUAAAAGGGUGCUAGUGCUACGUGAAGUACUAUGGCCAACAAUGGUUGCCUGACUUUCCCUCGUGCACAUCUUUUUGGGCCACUCAGUGGGUAAAAAGUAUGUAUAGUGGAGCCAAGUGAUUCAAAUGUCGGCUCAAAGUUAGAUGCAAACAUAUGGACAUGCAUGGAGGAAAAUAAUACUUCCCAUACUAUGAUGACUCUGAUGGUGUUUCUUUAAUUACAUCUUGGCUACUGACGAUCUUCUGACACUGCUUCGUAACACCACCCCUCAUAAACUACUCAGUUCACACUUAGCCACCCAACAACUAUAGCUACUGCUAUUUAGUUACUUAAAACUAUUACAGAGUUUGGCGACUUAAACUAUUACAUAGUUAGGUGAGAUACACUUGAUAAAGAUCAUUUAGGGUGAUUGGAUCCCCUAAUUGGUAUCGUUUUUCUCCCUACGGCUUGUGGUGGCGUUGAGUGUAGAUGUAGUCGAGAUGGGCCUCCGAGAUCACCCUCCUCUUCAGGCAUUCCUCAUUUCCAUCCUCGCACACCUCCAUUCCCAUCAGCUGCUACGAAGAAAAAGGAGAACGAAAAAAAAAAAAAAAAAAAACUUCAUUGAAGACCUUGGAAGCUUAAUAAUGAGGAGAAAGAUGAACUAGUCUAGUUUAUAAUACGGUUGUGCAACAGUAUAUGCUGGUAACAUGAGUCAGAAGAAAUCUUUUGAAUCCCUACUUACAUCCCAAGUAUCCUCUCUUUCCUCCUCUCCGACUUGACUCGCUUGCAAGAAGCCGGCGACUUUAUCAGAGUCUCUCCCUGAGAGCAAGAGAAAGCAUAAGCGAGCUAGAUUAGCAAUAAGCUUGUGGGGCAUAAUGCAGAAGCUGAUAAGUUGUAGUUUUAGAAGGACUUUUAGACUAUCACCUGCAGGUGGCGUUGGUGGGAGGAGACGAGAGGCCGUUGAAGUGCGGAGGAAGAGGAAGGUAAUUACUAGGAGAAGAAGAGUUCUAAGGACCCAGAGCGAGUGAUCAGAACUAUGAUGCUUCAUGGUUGCGUUCCAGCUACAGGGAGAAAAGGAGGAGCGUGCAUUAAGGUAGGGGGUGGGGGAGCAAACUAAGUGGAGAUGAGUGCUGUAGAAGGUGGGAAGAUAUUAGAAAUAUAUAUAUAUAUAUAUAUAUAGAAAAAUAAAAGGCAUGCGCACUUGAGGAGCUCACAUGAGAUGAUGAGAAGCCCAAAGCAUUGCACACGGCACAAGCGGUUACCUGCACCCCUUCUCUGCUCCAUCUGUGUGCUCUGUACUGUGGGGACCACUUUCCACUCACUGCUAAUAACCUUCCCACAUGCAUGCUCAUCUAGCUAGCUUUAUAUGUUUCCUAGCUUAACCCCCACCCCACCACACCCAAAUUAACCCCAUUGCGAACACGAUCUACAUGAACAUGCACACACACACACACACAUAUAUUAACCAUGCCGCGGAGAGAGAGAGAGAGAGGGAGGAGUUUCACAUUCAGUGUGAAUAGGACGGCAAACAGUACAGAAGUUAUUACGUGCACCUGGUGUAUCCGUAUGUCUCAAGCGGCACACAUCAUAUUCGCGGUCAUUUUUCAAAUAAAAAUUUAGUUGUAUAAAUAUAAUUUACAACAUUUAAAGUAUCCGAGUAAAACAAUCAUAAGCUUUAAAAAAUCUAUCGCGCAGGUAUCGAUCACCUAGCUAGUCUCAAAUAUAGGGACUUAGAAGGGUGAAUGUAGGGGGCGCACGGAUACACUGGUGUAGACAAUAGGUUAUAGUUGGUGUGGGUCCCAGGUCCCGGCAGAUGGAAGUGAUGAUAAUGUUAGGUGGCAGAGUUUUGGUUGUCGUUUUGAGCUCUAUGAUAGAGCGAUGGUCCGGGGAGGGUAACGGAGAAAGAGAUUUUGUUUUCUUUUGGGUUUUGGACAUAAAUGCUAGCAAGUCAACGGCCGGACUGUAAUGUCAGCUGCCUAAACAGCUAAUGACUUGUUCGCACGCUUCACAAAAAUAGGUGAAGAAAAAAGAAAGAAAUUACAUCACCAAACAUUUUAGGAUGCAUGCGUCCGGAGACAGAAAAAGCCACAGAAAUCUUUUCCUGAUCACACUGGAAGGAGAUUAAUCUUUACCUACUAAAGAAUCUUGUAGAUCUCAAAGUCGUCUUAGAAAAAUUAUGUAGAGUCGACGUGACUGUAUACAUCUUUUUGCAGGUUUUGUUUUAACUAUCGCGUGUCUUUGUUGCGUUAACGAAAGUAAUAUAUCAAAGAAGCAUCUAACCAGAUCAUGCAAGAUUUCUGACUGCGACGAUUAUGCCUAUAAAGAUAUUCAGCACCAUCAUUAGCAGCUUUGUUUCGUUAAGCCUUUACCUUAUCAAUCUUCCAAUUGGUAUUGAUUAUCCUCUCCUUCACCGAGAAGCCAUUAGUGAUUCGGCUUGAUCUCUAGCUCAUGAUAAUAUAUUCAUCUUAUCUUUUUUCCACGCGUAGGCAACCAGUCUUAAAUGUGUAUUACGUUUUUUUGUUUUGGAUAACGAGGAUUGCGUAAUAAAGAUAAUCUUCUAAAGUAAGAUCAUGAGAGAAUUAUAUAUGUUGUACUCUGGGGAGGAAGGAACAAUUGAUGCUCAAGUGGGCUGAGCAUAUAUGUACGAGGGGAUAUGCUGCUUAGUAUUUUAUUCUGCGUAUCAAAAUUCACUAAGAAGGAUCGAUUCACUUAGCCAUGGGUAAGGCUUUCAUCUUAACUUUUAUAUAUAUAUAUAUAUAUAUAUAUAUAUAUAUAUAGAGAGAGAGGAGAGAGAGAGAGAGAGAGAGAGAGAGAUGACAUGCUAUUCGUGUUCGUUUUUUUUUUUUUAAAUAAAUGAAGCUGAAAAUAUGAAUCAACUAAGAUUCAAACUGAGACCUCGGAUCGCUAACAUUAACUUUUUGCCACUUGCUCUAAGGACGGCCGUAGUUGCAUAGAAGAUACGUCUGGACAUUAGCCUAAGAUAUAACUUACAAUAAAAUCAAAUACAUAGCAGUUGCAUCCAACUUUGAAGUCGGCCAUUUAAUUGGAAAAACAAGGUUGGCUAAUAGGUGGAAUAUUCUCUCGACAUUGUCUGCUUCGCAUCUGUCUAACGUAAUGAUAAUGUAAAUGCUUUUAUUUAAAGGAAAAAACAAGGUAAUUGGACGGUUAUCACGGACUUUUAAGUUGCCUUUGUUUGUCUCACUAUGGUCCCAUACUAUAUAUAUAUAUAUAUAUAUAUAUUAAAAAAAAAAGGGUAAGUUGCACGUAUGGUCCUCAAACUCUGAGUCGAGUGACGUCCCUUCAAACUCUAAUUUCUUAUAAUUUUGAACUUAAAAUUUUAAAAUUAUUCAUGUUAUGUUUCAGAAUCUAAUAUAAUUAAUUAAAUAUUGUUGCAUUAUUAAUGUAAAAGAGAUGUGCUGUCUUAAUUUUUGAUGCAUCAUCGAUUACAACACUAUUACUUGGGUUAUAGAAUUUGACUGUAGUAAUUUUGAAAGUUUAAAAUAAAAAUUAUAAUAAAUUAAGAUUUGAGAACCAAAAUUUCACUCUCUUUAUAGUUGGUCAAUUAAAUUAGGUUAUAGAACCUGAUUGUAACAAUUUAAAAAGUUCGAAUUGAAAAUCACAACAAAUAAAAUUUUGAGGAUCAAGCCUGCAAUUUAUCCCCCCCCCCCCCAACAGAAAGGAUUUCUGUUGGGUUGCCGAAGAGCCUGGUGUGGGCCAGAGCCCAAAGGAAAGGGCUUUCGUCAGAGAGGACCAGGCCGGGAAUGGAGGCCACUUUGCAAUUUUAAGACACAUCAGUUGGAUUAAUGUAUAGGUUUACUAAUUUUCUUUGGAGCUGAGAACUUCUCUUUGUCGAAUGGAUUAUCUCCAGGUAUUUAUGGUUCUGGAAAGGGUACAGUUUUCCACAAUAAUAAAAGUUUGAAAGUGGAUAUGGAUAUUACAGUUAAUUAUUAAUUACAACUAAAAUCAGUUCAGAUCUCAGAGAGCUGGUUAUAUGUUACCCAUGUACGCGUAGUGCAACCCAUCACUCGGGGUAUUUCAUGAUGGAUCAAAUCACAGGGGGAUCAUGUUUCAGUGUCAUGCUUUGGAAACUGGCCUGCUUAAACUCUCAGCAGCAGCAUUAGGUUACUAAACGUUUUGUGGGAACUCGAAUUCUUCGCACAAGCUAAUUUUCUUUUAUAACCUGAAGCUGAGUUUUGUCAGCUGCAGGCAAGCGUUGCAUUUUGCAGUCCCAAGCAAUGCUUGUUCUUUUAUUAGUCCCACUGGACCAAUGUCCGAAUCCCUCGGCUGGGGUUCUGUUAGUUGUACAGAAGGUGAAGUCAAGUCGACCUAAAUUUCGGAUGAAUUAGAAUUUAGAUUGAAAUUAUAUUUUUUUGGCUACUUGAUUCUAUAGUUGCAGAAUUGAAGUUUUUUUUUUUUUCUUCUAAUUCGACUGUUUAUUUGAUAAUAAGUGAGUAAUAUAAAUUUUUUUAAAAUAUUUUACUACUGUUUUGGCAAUUAACUUGGGUCCGGAAUGAACCUAAUUCAAUUAUAAUAUUUUAAAAGAUUUUAAAUUUUGACCGAAAAUAAAGUAAUGGUGCGCUAAACGACGAGAGUGAAUAUUUAAAAUUGAAAAGUAUUAUAUUCCUCUUUGCUUUGAGUAAAAUAAAUACACCCUUGGGAUGGAGCCCUUGAGCAAGGGUUCUCUGGAUCGAGAGCGCCUAUUGUAGGUGCUCCGCAAGUAGGAACAAAAGUUCUGAGGCCCACUUCCGAAGACAAGUCAAUAUAAACGACUACCCAACUAAUAUUGAAGUUAAUGACGGCAACCUACCCCAGAAUACGUAUAAAUGAAAAGUGUUGAGGAGCUUACAUGUGAAAAAAGAAAAAUAAAAAUAAUGAAAGAGAGAUGCUUCGUAGGACCAGUAUUUAACAAAUAAACCAAAUAAUAAUUAAGUAGCUCGGGUAAUCAUCUACCAUAAUAAUUCUCUCUAAUAACUCUCUCACAUCUUAUCAAAGGGCUGCCGACGACUGGGGACUGUUCGUCUUCUUUCGCUAUUAGUGGGAGACGAUGGCCCACCAGUCAGACCCGCAACUUCAUGUUCUGAUGAUCAUCAGCUGCUGAGCCCACCCACAGAUCAAUAAUCAAUCAAUAACAAUAACAAUAAUAAUCGGGAUCGGGAUUUAAAAAUAGGUAAGGUAUACCCACCAAACCCACCCCAAAGAAAGAAAAAUAAUAAUACUACCACUAAGGAUAAUAAUAUAAUAAUCAUCAUCAUCAUAGAAACAAAAUUACAAAGGAAAAUUCUUUUUCUUUUUUCUUUUUUCUUUUUUUUUUAAUAAAAAGAAGUGGUAAUGUAAUUAGGCCUUCAACAAUUCAACGCCGGAGGGGACGGGCGAAGGUUGUGGCGUUGCUUUCACGACGACGAGCCCGCCGGGGAGGAGGAAGAGGAAGAGGAAGAGGAAGAGGAGGAGGACGAAGAGGAAGAGGAGGAAGAGGAGGGCGAUGCGCCUCCUCCUCCUCCGCCGCUCCAGGGGGUCAUGUCCAUGGGGUAGCUCCCGAGGACGCGGAGGAAGGAGGUGAACUCCUGGAUCUCGGCGAGGGCGUUCUGGGCCCUGGGCUCGGCCAUGGAGGCCUCGAAGUCGACGUAGAACAUGUACUCGAAGUGCUUGGCGGUGCCGACGUUGGCGUCGUCGACGAGGCGGAUGGGGCGGUGGCGGUGGGGGCGGCUCUCGAUCUUGGUGAGGCUGAUGUUGCGGAAGGCGAAGGCGGAGAGCACCUUGAAGAGGACGGAGGUGCCCUCGCGGUCGUGGGCGAAGACGAUGCUGGUCUUGAAGGGGCGGUCGGUGCGGGGGAUGAUGGGCUCGCGCGCCAGCAUCACGAAGCGCGUGACGUUGCCGGCGUCGUCCUGGAUGCCGUCGGCCAGCACCUGCAUCCCGUACAGCUCGGCGGCGCGGGCCGACGCGAUGGCCGCCGUGUCGCGCAGGCCGUUGGCGGCCACGUACUCGGCGGCCCCCGCCGUGUCGUCGAAGGCCUCGCGGGCCACGUUCAGGCCCAGCGCCGUCAGCGUCAGCUCGCACUGGGCCAGCGCCUGCGGGUGGCUGAUCACGCGCGUCAGGCACUCCUUGCGCACCCCGGGCAGGGCCAGCAGGCAGUGGUGCACGGGCAGCUGCACCUCCCCCACGAUGUGCAGCCGGUGCCGCAGCAGCAGGUCGUAGUUGCGGUGGAUGCUGCCCCCCAGCGAGUUCUCCACCGGCAGCACCGCGCGGUCCGCGAUCCACAGCUCCACCGCCUGGAACGCCACCUCGAACUGGUCGCACGGGAUCGCCUCGCAGUUCGGGUACGCCUUCCCCGCCGCCGCCUCGCUGUACGCGCCCGGCACCCCCUGGUACGCCACGCGCAGCUGCGACCCGUGCAUCGGCGCCGGCGACAGGUCCGCGAUCGACAGCGGCCGGGGCAGGUUCUCCACCGGCACCAGGUACGACGACCCCGACGACCCCGACCCAAUGUGCCCGUUCACCGCGAGCUUCGUCUCCUCGCUCCCUCCCCCUCCCCCGCCCCCGCCCGCGGCGGAGGCGGAGGCGGAGGGGGGCUUGUCUUCGUUGGUGGGGGAGAGCGCGGCGACCUUGCUGGAGAGGAUGGCGCAGGAGCUCUGCCACUCGGCGCGGCUGCUGUGGAGGAAGUGCGCGGAGGCGGAGGAGGCGUCGGGGCGGUGGAUGGCUCGGAUGAGGAGAGCUCGGGGUGGGAAAUUAGGGUCGGAUCGGGGGGCGAUUCCGUAGAGCAGCUUGUGACGGCCGAGGGAUGGUUGGAUGCUCGCCGUCGCCGUCGCCGUCGCCAUGGGGAUCUCCGAUUCCGAUCCGAUCCGGUGGUACAACCAAAACUUCCUUUUUUUCUUCUUCUUCUCCGAUUUUGGUUUGGUUUGGUUUGGUUGGUAGCUUUGGGGCAGAAUUAGUAGAGAGAGCUUCGGAAGGGGAGGGGAGAGGGAUAGGGACGGGGAAAAGGGUAAAAGGGGUGAAAAGCGAGUUUGGUGUUUGGUGUGGUCAAAUAAGUCGCCACCUACCCACCACCUGCGAGUUGCAGCGACGACGCGCUCCACCAUCCACACUAUGAUCCUUCUCCAGCAAAAUUCCCCGCACAAUCCCAAACACCGUUCUCUAAUAAAUAAUUUUAUCUUUUAAACUAUUUUUUUAGUCUUAUUUUAGUACAAAAAAUUAAAAAUUUUCUUAAUAAAUUCAUUAAUUGUUAUAAUUAAUUGAAUAGUUGCAGUAUAUCUUUUUUUUUUUUGGUUAAAACAUAUGAAUGCAGUAAUUAAUAACUAAUAAUAGAACUGCCAAAGAUCUAACUGAAGAAUUACAAAUUAAUGAGCCACCUAUAAGAAACAAAGAAAGUUCAUGGCCUACUUAAAAAAAAAUAAAGUCAUUUGCACACUAGAAAGUUGCUGUAAAUUUUAUACUAAAUUCAUCUAAGAGUUUACAUAACUUUUUUUGAAUCUUUAGUAUUAAAAAAUAAAGAUGAUAAGAAUAGUGUAAAACAAUAAAAUUUUAAAUGAAAAGAGUGUAAAAUUUAUCACUAUUUUUGAAUGUACAUGCAGUAAUGUUUUUUUUUUUUUUUUUAAAAAAAUGGCUUGUGUUAAGAAGUUUCAGUAUAUUUUUGUUUAUUUUUAUGCUACUAUACAUUUUACCCUUCCUGCUUCCUUUUUGGACUGUUCGAGCUUUCCAUCUUUAUGUAUUCGAAGAUCAGUACUUUAAUUAGGAGAAAAGUAAACUAAGGCUUCAUUUAAAUAUACCGUAUUUCCACCUACACAUGAAACAAGAGUUCCACUGAUAUGUACUUAAUCAGAUCAAACUUUAUUAGAAUUUAUAUAAUCCUCCAUGCUGAGGCAAUUUCUAUUAUUUUAUUCAACUAUCUAACACAUGAUGGAAUCUGCGAGUUGCAAUGUUGUCAGUUCUUUCACAUCGACGCCUUCUUUCUCUUGUUUUGGGGCGGCCGAACGAACAAUGGUUAGAGACCGUGGUCAUAACGUCGAAACGUGGCACGUCUCUUGUGCCUCGCUUUCGUUCACCAUAGUAUGCAACGUGUCAUUUCUAUCCGCGCCGAUCUGUGUUUUGGUGCACAAUACGACACUUGAUCCGAGAAUGGUAAGUUUAUGUUGCGCAUCAUAUUAUAUAUAUAUUAUAAUAUAUAUAAUAAUAUAUAUAUAUAUAUAAUAUAUAUAUAUAAGAGUAGGCUAGAAUAACUUUUAAAGUAUCACCCAAGUGAUACUUGUGUGUUUUUAGCCCUUGGAGAGAGAUGUGAGUUGAAUGAUGGGGGUAGUGGUGGUAGGUGGUGGUAGGUUGGAAUAAUGUUAAUCCAAGGCAUUUGUAAUCAAAAAGUAGAUCCAUAUGGCUAAAAAGGUGAUAGCAAUAUGGGGAUGAUACUUGUAAAAGUAUCCUAGAUCAACUCUAUAUAUUAUAUUACUAUAUAAUAGAGUCCGGAUGCUAUAUUAUCUUAGUACGGGGAGCUCCAGUACUAUAGUGUUGUUUCCGAUCUUCGGCGUUUAAAUCACGAUCCACACCGUUAAAAACUGAUCUAGGGUAUUAAAGUUUUUAGAAAUAAAAUUUAUAAUUUUUUUCGACAUAGGUUUACUUUAUGAUCAAAAUAUUUCAAAAUUGUCAAUUUUCAACGGCUAUUAUGACGAGUUUGGAGUUUAACAGUGUAGAAGAAUUUAAAUUUCUUCAAAUUUUGAUAGAAAAUUCUUUAAACUAAUAUAGAUUAAGGUUACAUUUCUUGAUCUUGAAUUUAAAAGUCUCUAUACUCAAAUUUUAAAGAGUAUUCAAUUCCCACCGUCCAUUGACAUAAUUUAUUUACUAAGUAAACGUAUUGAAAAAACUAAAAUUUUAUUCAUAAGAACUUCAUAUACCCUAGAUCAUAUUUAAUGGUGUAGAUCGUUGAUUUGAAUGCCUUAAGAUCGAAAACAACACUAUAGUACGGGAGCUCCCGUACUAUAGAUAGUUAUAGUAGCCCUAAUUAAUAUAUAUAUAGUAAUUAAUUAAUAUAUAUAUAGAGUCCGGCUACUAUACUGUCGGUAGCACGGGACCUCCCGAGCUACCAAGUUGUUUUUGAUGAUGCGGCUUCCAAAUCGACGAUCGGCUCCGUUAGACUUGAUAUAUACUAUUAAAAGUAUUUGGAAAUUAAGGGCUUGUUUGGUUCAUCUAUUUUGGAUAUGAAAUGGGAAUUGGUUUAAUCAAAUCCGGUUAAUUUUGUUUGGUUCACAGGAAUCGGUUUGGGAUUCCUAUUCCGAACUGGAAUGGGAAUGUCCCAUUAGCCUUCAACUUGAUUUCGGUCUUCUAGCCCGGAUUAAGAUUUUAUUUCCGAAGUCCACUAAGCUACCAAGGCCCAUGCAACCAUCUCACCCUCCUCUUCUGUAUACAAUCUCUUCACCCCUCUCUCAUCAAAAAAAAAAACCCCUAUCCUCUCUCAAAACUUUAUCCCUAACACACAUCAAUAAAAAAUUUUAAAAAUAAAUUUGAUAUUUUUUUUGAAAAACUUAUUAGAGAAUAGUAUUAUAUUUUUCAUAAAUUUUAAAUAAUAUGAAUUUAUAUUUGAGAGUAGAAUUAGUAUUAUGGUAUUCUAUAAUUUUUUAGUUUAUACGAACCAAACAAUGGAAUGUGAAUAAUUCAUUCUAAUUUUCAAUCCACAAAUGACCCAAACGUUUUGGGGGGAGUGAGCCAAUCCAAUUACCAUUUCAAUUCAUUCCCAUUCCAUUAUCACAUUCCAAUUCCACCCUUGAACCAAACAAGCCCUAAAUUUCAUAAUUUUUCGACAUCAUUUGACUAGUGAUCAAAAGAUUUCAAAAUUGAUAAUUUUAAUGGCCGAUGUGGUGUGUUUGUGAGUUUAACGGUGUAAAACAAUCCAAAUCGGAUGAAAAUUUAUAGAAAUUUUUUUUCACUAUUUAGAGUAAGAUCAGUAUAUCUGAUCUUGAAUUUAAAUCUUUUAUCAUCUUUUUUAAUGAGAUUUUUAUUUUCAGCCGUUCAAUUUUAGACUAUUUGUUUGAUAGGUAAAUGAUAUCGAAAAAUUUUGAAAUUUAGUUUUUAAAUAAUUUUAAUAGUGCAGAUCAAGUCUAACGGAGCCGAUCGUCGAUUUGGAAGCCGCAUCAUCAAAAACAACUCGGUAGCACGGGAGGCCCCGUGCUAUCGAUAGUAUAGCAGCUGGACUCUCUCUCUCUAUAUAUAUAUAUAUAUAUAUAGAGAGAGAGAGAGAGAGAGAGAGAGAGAGAGAGAGAGAGAGAGAGAGCGAACUAGGCUCCUAUUCUUUUGAAAGUACGGGAGGCCCCGUGCUUGUAAUUGAGUUAGAAUAUUUUUAGAAGUAUCAUCUCUUUGGUACUUCUAGAUUUCUAGUCCUUAAAUCUACUUAUUGAUUACUAAUAACUCUUGGAUCAAACACUAUUUCACUUACCACCACCUGCUACCACCUACCACUAUCAUCCCAACCUUACAUUUCUCCAUCAAAGGUUAAAAACUCAAAAAGACUAACUUCUUGGUGCUUUUGAGAGUAUUCUAGUUCAACUUUAUAUAUAUAUAUAUAUAUAGAGAGAGAGAGAGAGAGAGAGAGAGAGAGAGAGAGAGAGAGAGAGAGAGAGAGAGUCAGCUAUUAUUUUAGGAGGAUAGAGUUUUCUCUCCUUGUAAGCUGUUUUAGAUUACAGAAAUUGAUCAUUGAAACAGUUUAAGUUGAUUUAAAAUAUUUAUAAUGUCUAAAAAAUAAAUUUUAUAUAUUUUAAAAUUUGUUAUCAAAUUCAUUGAAGAGUUAAAAAACAAACGGUUAAAAAAGAAUAAACUUAUGAAAAUAGAUGUUAGAUUUUUUCAAUUUAUGAUUAUAGUUGUCAAACGUUAUUUAAAUAUAUUAAAAAAAAAUUUAUCAAAAAUUUAAGCAGUUUGGAUUGUUUUAUAUUAUUAAACAAGUAAACGGCUCAUAUAGAUUAUAAAAAGUUGUCGAUUUUGUGAUCUUUCGAUCACUAUGUAAAUAAUUUUUAAAAUUUAUAAAAUUUAGUUUCUAAAUAUUUUAAAUACUCUAUAUUUAUUUUAAUGAUUUCGAUCAUCGAUUCGAAAUUUUUAUCAUUUAAAUGAUUUAAGAGAAUAAAAACAUUCAUCCUUCUAAAAGAAUAAUAGUUGAAUUCUAUAUAUAGAGAGAGAGAGUUGGGCUGGAAUAUUAUUGAUAGUAAAAAGUUUGUUUUGUUAUCAAAUUUUUAACUCUUUGAUGAAAAAUUAUAGGGUUAGAAUGAUAAUAGUUUUUUUAUGGUUGAGUGGUCAUCUUAGGGUUGAGUGGUUCCCACUGGGUUAUAAUAUUUAAUCCAAUGAUUAGAAAUGAUGAAAGUAAUUAAUUCAAUAGCUAAAAAUUUGAUAGCAAAAAAGGUCUUUUGGUAUCAAUAGUAUUCUAACCCAACUCUCUCUCUCUCUCUCUACAUAUAAUUGCUCUUAGAAUUUUUUUAAUAGUAUUUAGAUUACUUUACUAUUAAAUUUAUAAUUUUUUAAUAGGUGGUUGAUAGAAUAACAUGAUCUAAGCAGUGAAAUUAGCAAAAGUAUAGACUUAAUAAUAAAAACCUUAAUAGUAUCAAGUACUUUAUGCUAUUAAAAAUAUUUCGGUCGAUCUCUCUCUCUCUCUCUCUCAAUAUAUAUAAUAUUCUAAGAGAGAAACGUUAUAAAGUUUUAUUCAUUUAUCAGUAUGUCGGGAUACAAAGUAGAAAAGUAUAGAAAGACGAAAGUAAGUUGUUUACAAAAAGCAAUUGAACUAGAUAUUUAAGAAAGAUACGCAGCCAAGACUAAUGAAAACACGAUUAAUUGAGCUAGAUAUUUAGGAAGGAAAGCCAACAGUCUAGUAGCUAACCGACCAAUUGACAGGAGAAUUAUGCUACUACAAACAAUUCUAGAGCUGCUUCAAAACAUAUCAAUGUUGACUAACCUUUGAAUUUGGUAAAAUAAAAUGGUUGAAUAAUGGAUCCGAAUCCCAAAAAUAAUAAAGCUUUUGAAUAGGCAUGAAUGAACAAAUGGAAUAAACUAGUUCAAUACCUUGAGCUAAUGUAAUACAACCCAAACAAUGUUCUCAAAAUUUCAUAUAAUUUCAAUAAAUUGAAAUACGAUUCAUUUUUUGUAUUGGUAAGUAUAGCUAUUACUGUUAAAAAUAUGCAACCAAUUCAAUUAAAGCAUACAGAUACAAUAUCUACAGGUUUCAAUUAUGAUUCGGUCCAACCAGCUUCACGCUACUUCAAACAUGACUCGGUCCAACCCAGCGUCACGCCAUUUCGAACAUGACUCGGCCCACAUGGCCUUCAGCCACAGAGCAGGAUACUGGUUCAUUUAAACUAACAGAUUAUUUUGUAUUUAUUUGUAUUGGCUUAAAUGGGUCAACAUCCUGCCCUGUGACUAGACGUUAAGUGGGCCGAAUCACAUUCGAAAUGGCGCGAGGCUGGAUUCGAAAUGGCGCGAGGUUGGAUUGAGGCGAGUUAUGUUCGAAAUUGUAUAAGACUGGAGAAGCCGAAUCACAAUCAAGAUUCGUGAACGUUGUAUUUAUAUGUUUUAAGUGAAUUAAUUGUAUAUUUCUAACAGCUCGAGUUUUUGAAAUUAAUGGUUUGCGCCAACGAUCCGACAAUUUGUACUAUAACGCAUACAUUAAAAAUGAUGUUUAAUUCAUGCCAAAUCCAUAUUGAGUCGACCUUGUUGUUGUUCAAUGCGUAGAGGAAUCACACCAAUCCAUUCCAAACUUCGUGGCUAACCUCUACUGCGAUGACAAUACUAUAGGGGAGGUCUUGCGGAAAGGAAGAGCCACUAGCUGCGCAGAGAGGUCAGCAGGGGUCAUGGAGCUUCAUCGAAAGGAAAGCACCAUAAGAAAUGGCACAAAAGGUAUAGACAUACCAAAUUCACCUCGGUUCACUGAUUCCGUAAGGUCGAUACGUGACAAAAAAGGCCGGCAAUAGAGUAGAAAGUGUAGAACGCAGCGGAAGUAUUCGUUCGUACUUUUUUGCGGAAGCGAUUCACGCUACAACACGAUGAAUCCGGAUCGUAGAGGUUGAUUCACGUGUCAUUGGAUCGUCUUUGAAGGUCUUCUAACGCUCCGAAUCCGCGGUGGAUCGAACUACAAACGAGCACGAUCGCAAACCCACCGUUCAAAACCUUUUAGAAUAAUAGGUUAAUGGAGGAUGUGCUUUUUCUCUUUUGUUUUCUUAUUUUCUUUUUUUUACGUUCAUCAUUAUAUGUGGGAUCGCCCAUAUAUUUAUAAGGGAUUUCAAAAUUCUAAUAGCGUAAGAAAAAAAGCCAAAUCGGUUAUUAAUUGUUAUCCCAAUAUGAUUAGAUUUUAUCUCUAAAUAGCUUUCUAAUUUAAAAGCGAGAUUAAUUUUAAUCUAAUUAGAUAACAUAAUAACCGUCGAAUCGAGCCCGAUUAUGGGCGCACCCGAUUCGAUUUAACCGAAUGCUAACAGAAAGGAUGUGGUAAAAGAACAAAAGGGACAGAGGAGGAGGUAGAACGUCCCUUUCUACGCUCGCCGUGGCUGCCGAAAAAGGGGCCGAAGAGGGGAAGAAAGGAAGACAUUGGGAGGUUCCAGAGACAAAAUUUAGCACAUCUUUUUUUAAAAAACAUACUGUAUCUGAACAUUUUAAUUUCAAGAGUAAUCAAUUACCUUUUUUUUCUGGAAAAGGCCCAUAAACUUGGUUAGUAUCUAUUAAAUUUCAAAACUUCACCUUUAUGCUUCUUCAAUUCUCAGGUGUGCAUUUGCUUCUCCCCAAAAGGAUACUAUUUUACUUAUGUAUCUUAAUGUUCCAUUUUAUGUGUUUUUUGAGACCAAAAUCACGGUCUAUUCGUUGAAAAUGUACUGGGUCCGGGUUCAACAGUGCGCCAACCACGGAGAUCAGCGGCCCUGCCGAGAUCAAUCGUAAAUAACACUUUGAAUGGUGUCAUGUCGUGGAGCACAAUUCCUGCGUGCAGCCGCCGUGAUGGACCAAAAUUGGUACUCUUACUACCUUCUUCCCCGUUGACUCUGCAUUUCAUGGUACGAAUUUAAACCUUAUUUGGCACAGAUUACGGCUUUUCAAUUUGUCGGCUGAUACUCUGUGUUGCAUGGGUUCAGCUCAGGUUUAGGGGUCAAGUUUUAGAUUUUCUAGGAAUAGCAUAAAAGUGGUCAGCUUUUAUCACUCCAUUGUUGUUUUGAAAAGGAUUAUUUUAGGAGAUAAGAGAACAAUCAUAAAAUUGGAUACAGAAGUUUUAAGGAAAAUCUAUUGAUUUGUUUUGUAAGAAACCCAUGUCCACUUCUAGAUUUUAUAUAGAACACAUUUGAUAAGUUAGAUUUCAAUUUUAAAACUUUUAUCACACAUUUUUAGAGGUGUGGAGUAUACGAUGUAUAUUUUUUACACACCUGGAAUUCUCUUCCUAUAGUAGGCCUAGGCCCAAUGGCCUCUGUGAAUGAAGUGUAAUAUUUAUCAUAACAAGGGCCCCGACUAUUAGGCCCUGUUUGGCCAAGCUAUUUAAAAGUGAUUUUUAGCUGAAAAUCACUUUUAGGUCCAAUAGAGUGUUUGGUAAAGGUAUUUUAAAAAUCUGAUUCUGCUUUCUACAAGUUGAAAACUGAUUCUUCAACUCCCAAAAGCAAAAGCUAAAAAAACCUGCUUUUCAAAACAGACUCUCGUACAAGCUGAAACCCACUUAAAUUUUUUUAUGAAAAUACCGGAAUUAUCCUUAAACAAUCAACACAAUUCUUUCAUGUCCUUUUAUAAUUAUAAUACUAUCUCUCCCAUUACUCUUUCCCAUUACUCACAGCCAUCUACUCUCAAAAAAAAAAAAAAAAAAAACACUCCUCUCCUCUCUUCUUCAUCUAAUCACUUUUCUCUCCUCUCUUCUUCAUCUCUCUCCCCUUAUCCUCUCCGGCGACGUCUUUUUCUGCCAGCGAGUUUUUUCUCCGGCGAGUCUCCGACGAAUUUUUUUCCGACGAACCUCCAAGGUACUCCAUUUUUUUUUUUCAAGGAGAAUGUUUUUUUUUUUCAUACAGAUUUAUCUCCCUCCCUCUCUUGAUUUCUCUCUUUAAUCCGCCCCCGGCACUAGAUCCGGCCCCAGAUCCGCGCCCGGCACCAGAUCUGGCCCCAGAUCAGCUCCGGCGUGAUCCGGCAAAGACGGAUCCCGCCGGCUUGGCCGGAUCCGCGCCGACGAGCUCCGGCUUCGCCGAAAUUAGUCGAAAUGAUGCAGAGAUGAACUCUUCUCGAGUUCCCUGUGUACAAGGAGUCCAUUACUACCUAAGGACAUAAAGAGCCAAUUACUUAUGCAUUGAAAAAUAUCACACUAUGGGCACUUAAGUAGAGAUGAUUGUCCCUCCAAAUGUGUAAGGGGAUGUUACAAUUCUGGCGUGUAGUGAUUGAAGAAGAGAAUCGGCCUCUUGUAUUAUUUUAGCACCUGGAGGUUUAUGAGGGAAAUGAUUAAGAGUAAAAUAUGGUUAAUAAAUUUUGAUUAUUUAACGUCGGAUUAGCAAAUGUGACUUGGUGGAUUUUUGUAGUACUUGUAAUAUAUGUAUCCUGCUUAUGGAAAAGAGGAAUAUUUAGAGCAAAUAGCUUCUUUUGCAUAUAAUAAUAACAUCUAUUAAUGUUAAAUAGCAUUACAAAAUCACUUCAGCAAAAAAAUUUACCAAAUGGUUUUCUAAAAUCACUUCAGCACAAUCACUUUUCUAUUAGACUCAGCCAAACGCUCUACAGCUUUUAACAGAAAUCACUUUUCCAAACUAAAAUCACUUUUGCAGAAAUUACUUUUUCAGAAGCUAGGCCAAACGGGUCCUUAAUCAAAAUCUACCGUAUUGAGAUUACUUGGUCUCGGGUAUAGGUAUCAUUUUUCUGGUCUGUGUUGUUCGUGGCUUGCUAACGGUAGCAGAAUGCGUAAGCAUAAUAGUAUCAAGUCUAAUAUCUAGUUGAUGGGACAUGAAGUUUGGCUAAACCUUGGAUUCUCAACAUAUAAAUAGUGACUUCUUGAUAUCAUUUGUCCCUCUUGUGGAUGGAAUGAGACAAUUCGGGCUUACUACUUGGGUUCUAGUUAAUUCACCCAAUACAAAGCAAGCAUCCAGGGGUUGAACAACUUGUCUAAUCUGCACAAUUAGGUAACUAUGCACUCUUCCUUUCACGUGCACGUCAUCUGCGAUACCAGCUGAAAUCAUGAUGACUAAGCUCGCUAGAAUCUUAAGAAGGCCUCAAAUUCGGAGUUUCCCUGGGCCCCAGGGCUUCAUAAGUCUGUUGGCCCAAUUAGACAUGGGCUUAUGUUGUUUUGUUUAGGCUAUCGGCGGAGAAAAGAGAGACUGGAACUACAGCGACACAAGGCUCAACCCAACUCCUCUCUUCGAUAGUGGGCCUUGUUGAGAUAGGAUUUAAUCCAGAUCUGUGGGCUCAAGUUUCUGUUGUUCUACAUCUUCAUCUCUGCGGACAAUGAUUCCUAAGAGCGGAGAUUUCGUCUGCUUAUUGGGCACAAAUUUUCUGUGCAAAAAGGCAAAACUCUGUGGGAUGCAUCCAAAUCGUUAGAUUGGUCGACUCUUAGCGCAGUUUAGGUAUAACUUGUUGAAUUUUCUUUCUUUUUUUUUUGAAAAGAAGAUAGCAUGCUACCGCUUCAUUUAUUAAGAGAAUAAACUGAGCUACAAGCAGAUCCAACUGGGCCGAAAAAAAAAAAAAAAAAAAAGACACUAGCAAAAAAGAUCCCGGGCGUCCCUAAACUUGUUGAUUGAUGACAAAUUCACGUUUUAUUCAGAAGAAUCUAGAACACCAAGUUAUAGACAACACGACAAGUCCUCUCAAAGAGUGUAUGUUACUAGUCUAACUAUCAUUUUCCUUGCAUUAAGUUUGGCCACAUGGCGCCCGUCGAAAAGGAAGGGUGGGUAGACGUUGAUGCACAUCAAACCUUCCUCAUAUCUUACGCUGCUUUCCACGUCCAUCAUACGCAACAAAGAGUCCGAUGGUUGGUUGGCAUAUAAGAUUUCAAAAUUCAAAAUUCAGUUGUUUUACAUUUUUAACUAAAUUUAUUUAUAAAAAAAAAGAAUGGAGCUGUAUUUUGUUUUUUUUUAAUUCAUUCUAAACGCAUGGAGUAAGGAACUUGCUCGUGUUAGCUGCGUUAUAUAUGCGAACAAAAUUUGCCUGCAUUGUUUGCGCCAACUCAAUCCAAGUGCCCCGUCUCCUGCCUGGGUCGAAACUUUGACUAAACCACACUCUUCGGAUACCCCCAAAGCAAUCACUCCAUCCAUCACCUAAAGGAGCCGAUGAUCAGAUGGCCACGUUACUACUUGCGCGUUACGAAAUGUGAUGAGUAAGGAAAAAAUUCUAGAAUGCAACUGGUAUAUUGGUGAUACGGCGUAACAAAUCAAUGAAAAUUUUUUUUUUAGAAAUAUAUAUUCCAUCAUGAUUAUAAAAAAGUAUUUUUAUUGUACUUUUGUUUGAAAAGAAGAAAUAUAAUUGGCUUGUUACUGAUCACGUGGUGCAAGUGUGAUAGUGUAGAAUUCCUCUGAGUAAGGGCGCGCAUCCUCCCUCUCAUUUCAUGGGGAAAAAAUUAAAAAAAUUAAAAGAAAAAAAAGAAAGAAAAAAGAAAAGGAACAAAGCUCGUAACGGUGAAAAAGGUCUGCAAAUUAUUGCAGAGUGAUGAUUAAAAGAGGGACAGCGCAGGUUCUCAGGAGGAAUAACUUACUUGUUGGGCACACAUGUGGUUGUCCUUCGCACGAUAACUCCUCGCAACGCGUCGCUCAAUGGCUAGAUGCUGUUAAAAAUCUCUUUGAAUCCGUCGUUCAUCAUGCCUCGAGAUUCGGACGGCGUGCUUUUAUUAAGAUUUGGUCCGAUGUGCUGUGAUUCGGGCGGACUGUGAGUCUUGUGAAUGCCUCGAUCAGAGGUAGAGGUGGGUGGGUCUCGGGCCUCUCGGCAGAAUUGGCUCAGCAAAAUUGGCUGCGUUAUACCAAAAACUCUAGAAUUUGUAAGCCCUCUCGCGCCACCUCCCUUCCACAAUCCACACCCACCCCUGUGUGGCUUAUAAGAUGCCGUGGCGUGUCACCCGAACCCGAUCGGAGCAACCAACUAGUGUUUAAUCAGCGGUCUAUGGGUCUUGCGUUGCGUCGCAUUCUUUUCUUCGCCAACCCCCGACUUUCCUACUCCUCCAUGCAUAUAUGAUAUAGCAUUGGAUACACUCCCAAAUGUCCAAUCUCAAUCAGAUCUAUAAUAUUAUUUAGUCAUUCCCCACAGCCCAAGUCCCCACUCCACGAGGCUUCUCGCUUCUAAACACCUUCCUUUGCCUACUCCACUUUGCUGCUUAUGUUUAUGCCAGAGCCACACACACACACACACACACAGAGCUGCUUGGGUAGUAGUAAAUUCUGAGCCGAUUAUGGCUCCGGCGAACUCCACCAGGGCCACUACCACCACCAGUCAGUCGAAAAUGAAAAGCCUCCGCCGAGGACAAGAAGAGAAGUGCUUGGCUAAUAGUAAAUUCCAGCAACAGAGGCCGGCGUCCUUCCACAGCCGGGGGACGGAGCUCUGCGGCCACGUUCGACAGCCCAAGACCCACCGGGACCUGCUCGAGAGACGGAGAAGGGGCGCAUCUUCUGGGGAGGGGGUCUGCGGUAGAGUCAUCGACGGUAGUAUAUAUUCUGAGGCCAUGAGGAGAGUGCCGGCGAAGGUGCUGGUGAACGUGACCGUGCUGCGGAGUCCCGGGCCGGUGCAGGUGAUGGCGUCGAUGGAGUGGAGCGUUGCGGAUUUAGUGGCGGCGGCCAUGCAGCUCUACGUUAAAGAAGGCAGGCAGCCGCCGCCGCCCACGACGGCGCCCUCUGCCUUCAGCCUCCACUACUCCCAGUUUAGCCUGGAACGUAUGCCCUGCAGCCUCAAUUCUAACGUCGCUAACAUUCCGACCCAAUAUAAUAAAUAAUACUUUUAAUUUAUUUUCUCCUAAUUAAGCUUAAAUUUGUACUGCAUAUUUUAGGUUUGGAUCCAAAGGAGAAAUUGAUAGAGUUGGGCUCCAGGAACUUCUUCCUCUGCCCCAACUCCGCCCCUGCAGCUUCAUCAGAUGCUGCUGCUGCAGGCGCUUUCUCCUCUGCUUCAUCUUCUUUCGCUUCAUCGCUAUCAUCCUCGUCGUCAUCUUCAUCUUCUUCCUCUUCAUGCUCAAGGGAAGCUUCAGAGAAGGCUUCUAAGAUUGGCAUGACUUGGCUUAAGUUCAUAGAUUUCUCAUUGUAGGCUAAUUGAUCUUCUUGUUUGUAUCUUCUAUACAUGAUUAGCUAUCGCACUUGGCAUACUUAUUUGCGAGGUCUUGACGCGAAGUAUACAUGGAGCCUUCCAUACCACGCAGAAGGGAUCAUUGUCUGGUUAGGAUGUAGCUAGAUUGUAGUUGUCGCUGUGUUAUGCAUAAACGUCUUUUGUACAUAUAUAUUCGCCGGUUGGGUGUACUAGAGUCGAAUCAAUAAUAAGCUCUGAGCUGAUUGCGAAAUAACGGAGUAGCUUAUUCCCUGCCUCGUGCAGAUACUGUGAAUCUCUCAAUACGCCAGUGAGAUGGCUAGAGUAUAUGUUCAUUAAAUAACUGAUUAAUCCGCGUUUCCUUUUAUAAUAAUUAUGCAUUGUAGUUUAAUCCGUGUUUCCUUUUAUAAUUAUGCGUUGUGAACUACAAAUUGGAGAUGCCCCUAUGAUUUAUUAAAUUUAUAUUAAUUGUGAGCCUGAGAGAUCAAACAGCUGGUUUGCCCGAGAGGUUAAGGGGGAAGACUUAAGAUCUUCUGCACAUAAGUGCGCAUGGGUUCGAACCCCAUAGCCAGCACACAAGUGUGAUAUGUAAUUGUUUUUAAUUUUUAAACUGUCGUUGUCUUUCUUUUUUUGUCUGUCAUUUUGGUUGGUUCCAUUGGUUCAUAUUUUGAAUGGAUUGUAAACUUGUUAGUCAAUUAUGUAAAAGUGUAUCAAAUAUUUUGAAAAGAAAAUUCCAAUAAUUUGACAUUCAAUAUUUUUUUUUUUUAAACUUUUAAUCGUCCGUCGUUGUCAUUUUUCUCUAUCAUACUAGUAGGUUCCAUUGGACCAUUGGUUCAUUUUUAUUGAAUUGUAAAAUCAUAAGAGAUUAGUACGUGCAAGAAUUUCAAGUGAUUUUGACAAUCAACAAAUCUUCAAUAAUAAUAAUAAUUAAAAGAAGUUAUAUAUGCACAGUGAAUUUGAAAAGGUCGUUCCACAGUUGUAGGGGAACCACGACGAAUCUCCCCUUUAUCUGCUGGUUAAUUAUUUGCUUCAACAGGGUUUUUAUUUUAGAAUGAGAGGGAGCUGGAGAUGGUCAGGGAGAAGGAGAGGGAGCUGGAGAUGGACCUCAACGUGCUCCUCCCCACAACUGAAUGGGUACAAGCUUGGGUGCAUUGAAGACGUGGCUGCUGCGAGACUGGGUGCUAACAACGGUACUCCUAGCAUCGACAAACCAAAGAUUGACAGGCGGGGGAAGAGGGUCGUAAAAAGGGUAGCUUGGGCGGAUGAAGUAGGUGGAACUUUAUUAUCGAUCCGGGAGUUCCAAGAGGAGUCCGAGCUGACACCAACUGGGGUAGGGAAGGGCAGGGUUCGAGAACUGGGGAGAGAAGUUAAUGUCAAGACUUUGAGAGAGAAGAUAGGCAUAUCUUUCCAGGGAUUCGAUAAGAAAGGUAGAGGCAGGGUUGCGGGUGACAGCGGUAGCUCUGCAUUUACUGUGGGUCGCUCUUAUAAGGAGGCUCUGCUCAGGGACAUCAGCACUCUACCACCCAAGACCCCACCCACCCCUUGGCUCUCCGGGGAUCGGCGAAGUAAGCAACGUUUCGAACGUAGCAGCAACUCCAGAAGGUGUUUCAGGUGCUUGGCUUCGGACCACCUCAUCGGGGAGUGUCGCGACCCGGUUAAGUGCCUUCGGUGUCGCAAAACCGGCCAUCGGGCUUUCGACUGCAGGGAGCCAGACUCUCGAAGUAAGGUCAGUAUGAAUAGGGCCUUUCGCCAGCGUGAGCGAGUUCCGAAGGUGUACGUUCCGUAUACGGAGGAGUAUCUAAGAAGGAGAGAGUAUCGCCGGAACGCGGUGCUUGCGGAUGUCAUCCCACCGGCCAACUUGGGUUCGGACCCCCUACAAACCAUUGCGAGCGCUUUGGCUCGUCGUUUCGGCGGAUACACGCAGGACUUCGCUGUCGCUCGAUAUCGUGAUCGAGACUACGCUAUCUUCCUUCCGGAAUGGGUUUCUGCGGAAGUGCUGGCUCGAAGGGAGGUCCUCACCCUUGAUGGGUUCUGGAUCAGAUGCUAUGAGUGGGGACAGUACCGGACUGCGAGACCACACAGAGUCUGCUUUAAGGCUUGGAUCCGGCUCAUCAAUUUACCGUUCGAGUGUUGGACGGUCGCUCGUGUCGCCGCUCUAGUGGGAGGGUUCGGUCGGUUCAUCAAAGCUGACGAUACAACCAAGGCGAUGACCGACCUCCGCGCGUUUCGGUGCCAGAUCAACCUUGAUUCUCUCCGGGAAAUCCCUCAGAAUUUAUCUAUUGUGCUGGGAGAGGAGAUCUUCUCAGUGAUGGUGCAUCUGGAGAGUUGGGAGCGGGUCGCGGCUGGCAAUGGAGGCGAACCGCCGGCACCUCCAAGAGACGGGGCUGAGAUGGGGAACCAGGACCCUGGUCCUGGUGACAGGAGGGGUCGCGCCCAGGGUAACAACGGCCAAGUUCGGGCGGACGAGGAAAUGGGAGAAGGGGCCGGGGAACUCGUCGACGCCGGUUCGGUGAAUUCUGUUAACAGGGUCCUGUCGGCUUCGUCGCUUCCGCGAAUAUCGGGCAGCACGUUACCUUGGACGGCGUACGGAUCUCACCGGAGCAGAUCUCACCGGAGCACGCCCGAGGACGGAGGGGGAGCGGUCCGUUGGGUGGAGCGUCUCGGCACAGUGCGCGAGGCCGCUGCUCCGAAACCCGAGACUCGCGAGGCCGUUGCUCCGAAACCCAAGACUCGCUCUGGGAAGGUCGCUGCCCCGCUGUUGGAGCAGGCGGCGCGGCGCCACCUUGUCCCCUUCCCCAAGAUCUCCUUCCCUGCGCAAUUGAUCUCGGACCCGCCUCGAGCCUCGUGCAGAAAAUCAAUGAUGGCGUCGAGACAGGAUGGCGGCAAGGCAUUUAUUGGGUUUGGUCAACUCUCGGGGAUUACCAAACCCAUAUUGCUUUUCUUUUGGUGGUCAGGGUCUCACGUGAUGCUACUCAAGUUGGGGGGAAGCCCUGUAGCUCUUUUUGGACCGACCUUCAGGGCCCAACUACCGAAUCCAUUCUGGGCUUCACUUUUGGGGCCGGUUGCGGGCGUCGUGUCCUCUCUCCACCUUUCUGGUGGCCUGUCGCUGCGAGCCACGGUGGGAUCUACUGGGAGUCGAUUAACCCAGCGGACAGGCCUGUCCGACACAAUUGACGCGGGUGGGGUUUUAUUUCAGGAAGCUAUGAGUGGUGUAAGCAACAGGUUUUCUGAAGAUCUCGAGGAUGCCCUGUUGAUGGAGAGGGAUGGUACGACGCACAGUCUUUCCUAUCCCAACGAUGCCACUGUUGAGGAUCCGCCGGUAUGGUCGCGUGAUGUUGUGGUGGCGGGUAAACUCGAUAGAGGGAUCGGUAGCAAUUGUGGGAUCGGGGACGGCCCGCGUACCAGCGCACGCCUCGCGACAAGGGAGAAGGGGUCCAUUCUUUCCAAAGCUAUUUCCAGGAAGGCAAGACUGAGGGGUGGUGGCGCUAUUUUCGUGGACGAGCUAUCUCCUAGGAAGAUAAUUCAGAAAAGUCGGCUGUGCGGAGUGAUUUUGGAUGGAACUGAGGCAGCUCACCUUGCCCAGUUCAUGAAAGAUUGUGCCUAAGUGGGCCGCGUGGUGUGUAGGGAGUGGACACCUUUUGGGUCUUUUUUGGGGGUUGGUGUCUCUUGUUUGUGAUGUUAAGGGUUUUAUGUUGGAAUGUUAGAGGGCUUAAUGACCCUUCUAAACGUUUUGUGGUUAGGGAUGUAAUUUCGAAGGUUCGUAAUGUUAUUGUGUGUCUCCAAGAAUCGAAAGUUAACCACGUUUCUGGGUCUUUCCUUCGUAGCUUCGCCGGAUCUUUUCUUGACAAACGUGUCUAUAUCGAAGCCAACGGGGCCUCGGGGGGUUUGAUUACUUGCUGGAGCUCCCGCAUUUUCUCCUGCCAGGAAGUUAUUGUUCGCCGCUAUUCCAUUACUGUCCUUUUAACUCUGCUUAGUAACGGUGCUAGACUCUUCGUGACUAAUGUUUAUGGACCGGCCACCUGGGAUGGAAAGGAGGAAUUUUACUCGGAAUUGUUGCACUUGAAAGGUAGUUGUAAAGGGAAGUGGCUGCUAUGUGGGGAUUUUAAUAGCACGCGAGGCCAAGAAGAGCGACAAGGGAAGACAUGGAGUGCGCGAGCAACUGAGUUAUUCAACACACUAAUUAGGGACCUGGAACUCCUUGACCUCCCUAUGUCUAACCAAAAUUUUACUUGGUCCAAUAUGCAACGAAGCCCGUCGCUUGCUAAACUGGACCGCUUUCUUGUCUCGACAGAUUGGGACCAGGAUUUUCCCCUGUCGAAGGUCAGCGCUCUCCCAAGAGUGACUUCGGACCACUGCCCCAUUCUACUCUCAAUUGACAGAGACAGCCCCAGAGUGAAGAAGACUUUUAGGUUCGAAGCUGCAUGGCUACUCCAUGAUGAUUUUUUAACCAAAGUGCCUGCCUGGUGGCGAGAGGGGGCGGAGAAACAGUCGGCAGUACUGACCUUCACAGCUAAACUGAGGCAUUGUAGAAUAAGAAUUAAAGAGUGGUGUAAAAAGGAGUUUUAUAGUAUCAAGGGCCAUAAAUCCAAGAUUAUGGAGGAAAUACUGGAGUUUGAUAACGAGGAGGAGAAGGGCGACUUAACGAGGGAAGCUUUUGAGCGUAGAGAAGAACUGAAAGCUACGCUACUAGGGGUGCUCAAAGAUGAAGAAGAAUUGUGGAGAACGAGAGCCAAACAACACUGGCUUAAAGAAGGAGAUAGCAAUUCGAAAUUCUUCCACGCUAUAGCGAAUGGCAGACGGAGAACUAAUAGGAUUGAUACGUUGGAAGAGGGAGAAACAGCGUACCACUCUGAAAAGGACAAGAAGCGACACUUACACCGAAUGUUCAAGAAGCUUUUCACGCCAGAAGUUUUAGCCCCAACCUCUUUUGGGGACUGGAGCGAGCUUUUCAGAUCAAGGCAUAUUGACACUAACUCCCUAGCUCGUUUAUCGGGGACGUUCAGUGUUGAGGAAAUUAAAAUAGCUGUCUUCCAAUUGGGAAGAGAUAAGGCACCGGGGCCCGACGGUUUCCCAAUGAGUUUCUAUCAAACCUUUUGGGACACGAUCCACGUCGACUUACUGAACCUCUUCCACGAUUUGUUUGAGGGUACGUUAUCCACCGAUCCUAUUGACUACGCCUACAUCCGUCUCAUCCCUAAGAAGGAGGGAGCUAAACGUGUGAGCGAAUUUAGACCCAUAAGCCUUCUCAAUGGGAUCCAGAAGAUCAUAUCUAAGGUCUUAGCCAACCGAUUGGAGACUGUUAUGAGCGAUCUUGUAUCCCAUUCACAAUCUGCCUUCCUGAAAGGGAGAAAUAUCACUGAUGCCUUCGUAAGCGCCCGGGAGACUCUAGUUUGGGCAAGCAGGUCGGGGGCCGAGGGAGUCGGCGUUAAGGUGGAUUUCGAAAAAGCUUACGAUAAAAUUUUUUGGCCUUUCCUUUAUCGCUGUCUACACUGGUGGGGCUUCGACGAUAAAUGGUGCAAUUGGAUCAAACUAUGCGUUUGCAAUGCCAAGAUUGCUGUUCUGGUUAAUGAUGAAGUUACCGACUGGAUUAAGAUGAGAAGAGGUAUUAGGCAGGGGGAUCCGCUAUCCCCCUACCUUUUCUUACUUGUGGCAGAAUGCCUUGCCAGACUUACUAAUGAGGCUGUCAUUAAUAACCUUAUAUCUGGCAUUGGCCCUACACAAGCAUCCAGAACCACUCUUAUACAGUUUGCCGAUGAUACCUUUUUCUUCUGUAAAGCCAAGAAGAGAUGUCUGAGAAAUUUAAAAUUUAUUUUGAAACUCUUCGAAUGGGCUUCUGGUCUGAGAAUCAAUAGAGUGAAAUCAGAAAUUUACUACACUGGUCAAGCUGAGGAUGGAGCAGGGUGGAUCGCGCACUUACUCGGAUGUAAAGUGGGUAGCUUACCUACCAAGUAUCUAGGUUUGCCCUUGUCAAUUAGACCUCCUUCCAAGGACGACUGGAGGGUGCUUAUCGGUAAAAUCCAAAGUAGAAUUGAUGGGUGGCAGGGAAAGCUGCUCUCGAGAGGGGGCAGACUUAUCCUUGUUAAUGCAGUACUAACCAAUCUUCCAAUAUACUACCUCUCAAUCUUCAUGGCUCCUAAAUGGGUAAUCAAGUGUAUUGAGACGUUACGAAGAGGAUUCUUCUGGACCGGAGAAGUAGAUAGCCGUGGAAUUAGAUGCCUAGUUUCUUGGCAGUGCGUUUGCCGCAACAAGAAGGAGGGCGGACUAGGUGUUCUUGAUAUCCGUACGAUGAACUGGGCCCUAAUGGUUAAGUGGUGGUGGAAGCUCCAGACUGCACCACAGUUGCAUUGGAACAAGCUUCUCCACGACCUGUUUUACCGUCGAAGAAGGCCAUUGAAGGAGGGAAGAUCUUUCCGACCAGUUUCCUCCUGGUGGAAGGACGUACUUAGACUCAAGGAUAUAUAUAAAUGGGGAGCAUUCUAUACGCCGGGUAACAGGAGUACUAUCGACUUUUGGGAGGAUCGGUGGUGUGGGGAAACAACGCUACGCGCGUCAUUCCCUGUGCUAUUCUUCCUCUCUCCUCAUAAAAACUUGAGAAUAUCCGAAUGUCUGAGUAGUAGCGGCUGGCGCUGGGAUAUGAUUCUGGGAGACGACAGGACUGUUAAUCCCAGCGCGAACCCGGAAGUUUUAGGGCUCAAGGACAGGCUAUCCUAUGCUACUACUACCCAAGGGCAAGACAGAGUGCAGUGGCGUUGGAGUUCUGAAGGACGGUUCACCGUGAAAUCAACCUACUCAACACUGCGUGAUGGAGGCAUGAGGGACACCCGUUUGGGUAAGAUCUGGUCAUUACGCAUACCCCUAAAAGUGAAAGUGUUCUGCUGGCUCGUCCUAAAAAAAAGGCUGCCCACAACUGACAACCUGGUAAAGCGAGGUUGGUCUGGAAAUACGAAAUGUGUGCUGUGUGGCCUGGAAGAAGAGACCGUCGACCAUCUUUUCUCUCAGUGUUUAAUCUCAAGAUACCUUAUAGCAGUUACACAGGAUAACUUCCAUCUGGGAGACCUAGAAGAUGAUGUGCGGGACGUUUGGGACGGAUGGGCCGAAACAAAUAGGUACUCAACUACCUCAGGACGUCGUUUCAUAAGACUUAUAGCAGCCUGGUGGAUCAUCUGGGAUCUACGGAACAGGGCGAUCUUCACGACAGCUCAGUACGAUCCUACAGUAGGUAUUUACAAGAUCAAUCAGUUGUCGGAGCAGUGGAUGAAACUUUCGCCGGACUGAAUCAACUGUAGUUUAGUUUUUUUUUUUUUUUUUUUUUUUUUUUUUUUUUUUUUUUUGCCCUCUCGCCCCUUUCGAGGCCUUGUUGCCUCACCCAUGUAGCUUAAUUCAUGUUCUUACUGAAUGAAGCGGGUAGCAUGCUACCCUUCUCUCAAAAAAAAAUAAUAAUUAAAA
RNAcentral lists this long non-coding RNA (34684 nucleotides) under Ananas comosus (pineapple). Its description in RNAcentral is "long non-coding RNA (ACOM_LNC031050)". The stretch from base 27730 to 27812 matches the Rfam family "tRNA". The record is from RNAcentral. Lineage: Eukaryota; Viridiplantae; Streptophyta; Magnoliopsida; Poales; Bromeliaceae.